UUAGCUGGGCAUGGUGGUGGCACAUGCCUGUAAUCCCAGCUACUUAGGAGGCUGAGGCAGGAGAAUAGCUUGAACUCGGGAGGUGGAGGGUACAGUGAGCCGAGAUCGUGCCAUUGCAUUCCAGCCCGGGCGACAAGAGUGAAACUCUGAAAAUAAAAUGUCCCCAAACAGCUGAAAACCUCAGGAAAUGGGAUCUCUCCAAAAUAAGGAUGAAAUGGCUUGUUUCUAAAGUCCUGGGGGACAACGAGGGUCCUGUAGAGAGUCAUGGCCGGUGAGGUCCUGGCUCCCAAGCCCCUUGAGCCACAGCCGGAGCUGCAGGCCGGGGCAGACAGCAUGGCCCAGCCUGGGUCUGAUCCUCCCUUUCGUGGUCAUCUUUGGGUGUCCCUGCUUAUCCCCAGAGCUAGUCAGUGGGCUCCACCCUCUGUGGUGGGGCAACAUGGUCUCCAUGAACCCAGAACCUGGCACGGGCGUGACUGGCUUUGUGGGCAGCAGGGCUGGCUCGUACCAGGACCCAGUGGGGCCAUGUGGCUACGGAGCCCUUGGGUGUGGCUGCUGCCAAGUGGGGUGUGCUGCACGUGACAGGUGCACGCCAGGUUCAGCACGGGGGGUGGAGGGGAGCCUCAGCACGGGGGCUGGAGGGGAGGUGGUGGCGGCCGUCACUGGGUUCACAUGGACAUAGUGGGGUUUUGGGUCCAUCAGGUUAAAUUAACUGUCGUCCUGAUGGGGCUGUCUCCACAUCUUUUCCCUUAACGUGGCUACUAGAAAACAGGAUGGUCAGGGCCCCUUCCUUACUCGCGGCUGUGCACUCCCACCACCCGCUGCCAGCCCCUUGUGUGGGCACUGACCUGUGCUCCUGCCCCCAAGCCUGACUUCACAACGGUGCUCGCCCCCUCUGCCUCCUCUGCUGCCUGCGUGCCAGGGGACCAGGCUUGCACCGUGUCUCUUUUGGUCUUCACCGGAAUCUUCUGGAAUUAGAACAGAUACCGUAUUCCCAGAGCAGUUGCUGUGCUGGGCAGUGUCCAGGCUGGUGGCAGGGCCUGGCCCCUUUUUCCAGAACCUGCCGGCCUGCCGACUUCCUGUGCAGGUUGGGGGUCCCCUCCCCGGCCGUGCCUCACGCUCGUCUCCCCUUCUCUCUGAAGUCUAACUUCUCCCUGGCCAUCCUGAACGUGGGGGCCCCAGCGGCUGGCAUGAAUGCGGCUGUGCGCUCGGCGGUGCGGACUGGCAUCUCCCAUGGACACACAGUAUACGUGGUGCACGAUGGCUUUGAAGGCCUAGCCAAGGGUCAGGUGCAAGAAGUAGGCUGGCACGACGUGGCUGGCUGGUUGGGGCGUGGUGGCUCCAUGCUGGGGACCAAGAGGACCCUGCCCAAAGGCCAGCUGGAGUCCAUUGUGGAGAACAUCCGCAUCUACGGUAUCCACGCCCUGCUGGUGGUCGGCGGGUUUGAGGCCUAUGAAGGGGUGCUGCAGCUAGUGGAGGCUCGCGGGCGCUACGAGGAGCUCUGCAUCGUCAUGUGCGUCAUCCCAGCCACCAUCAGCAACAACGUCCCUGGCACCGACUUCAGCCUUGGCUCCGACACCGCUGUAAAUGCCGCCAUGGAGAGCUGUGACCGCAUCAAACAGUCUGCCUCGGGCACCAAGCGCCGUGUGUUCAUUGUGGAGACCAUGGGGGGUUACUGUGGCUACCUGGCCACCGUAACUGGCAUUGCUGUCGGGGCCGACGCCGCCUACGUCUUCGAGGACCCUUUCAACAUCCAUGACUUGAAGGUCAACGUGGAGCACAUGACGGAGAAGAUGAAGACGGACAUUCAGAGGGGCCUGGUGCUGCGGAACGAGAAGUGCCAUGACUACUACACCACGGAGUUCCUGUACAACCUGUACUCAUCAGAGGGCAAGGGUGUCUUCGACUGCAGGACCAACGUCCUGGGCCAUCUGCAGCAGGGUGGCGCUCCAACCCCCUUUGACCGGAACUACGGGACCAAGCUGGGGGUGAAGGCCAUGCUGUGGUUGUCGGAGAAGCUGCGCGACGUUUACCGCAAGGGACGGGUGUUCGCCAAUGCCCCAGACUCAGCCUGUGUGAUCGGCCUGAAGAAGAAGGCGGUGGCCUUCAGCCCCGUCACUGAGCUCAAGAAAGACACUGAUUUCGAGCACCGCAUGCCGCGGGAGCAGUGGUGGCUGAGCCUGCGGCUCAUGCUGAAGAUGCUGGCACAAUACCGCAUCAGUAUGGCCGCCUACGUGUCAGGGGAGCUGGAGCACGUGACCCGCCGCACCCUGAGCAUGGACAAGGGCUUCUGAGGCCAUGCCCACGCCCCUCCCCAGCCCCCACCCAUGCCAGCCGCAGCACCAGGGCUCAGAUGGGGCCUGGGCUGUUGUGUCUGGAGCCUGCAGGCAGGUGGAGGCUGUGUCCCUGCUCAGCCCACCCCCUGCCUCUAUCCCUGGCCACCUGCCAGGCCUCUCUGGGGCUGGUGUCUUGAGACCAGCCUGCCAGGCCCUCCAGCAGGAGGACAGGGCGCCCUGGGGCAUCCACCUUCCUGCCCAGGGGACGCGGCGCUGUCGGUGUUUGGAGGCUGCCGCCCCCUGGCUUUGGCGCCCCAUGGGCCCUCAGCGUCUCCCCACGCUGGGCUCACUACAUGGGCCAGCCCUCACCCUACAUGGCCUGUAGGCUGCUGGCGCCUGGGUUGUGUUGAGAGGGGGACGCCCCUGGCCCUGCCUCACUGUGACCUGCUCCUGCCCACGUGCAGCACCCGUCACCUUUUCUAGAAAUAAAAUCACCUUGACUGUGGGGUGCAUCGGUCUCUGGAGAGCA
Molecule: small RNA, 2802 nt
Filed under: Pongo abelii (Sumatran orangutan)
Lineage: Eukaryota; Metazoa; Chordata; Mammalia; Primates; Hominidae
Description: retained intron
Source: RNAcentral